AGUGAACGCUGGCGGUAGGCCUAACACAUGCAAGUCGAACGGCAGCACAGUAAGAGCUUGCUCUUACGGGUGGCGAGUGGCGGACGGGUGAGGAACACAUCGGAAUCUACUUUUUCGUGGGGGAUAACGUAGGGAAACUUACGCUAAUACCGCAUACGACCUACGGGUGAAAGCAGGGGAUCUUCGGACCUUGCGCGAUUGAAUGAGCCGAUGUCGGAUUAGCUAGUUGGCGGGGUAAAGGCCCACCAAGGCGACGAUCCGUAGCUGGUCUGAGAGGAUGAUCAGCCACACUGGAACUGAGACACGGUCCAGACUCCUACGGGAGGCGGCAGUGGGGAAUAUUGGACAAUGGGCGCAAGCCUGAUCCAGCCAUACCGCGUGGGUGAAGAAGGCCUUCGGGUUGUAAAGCCCUUUUGUUGGGAAAGAAAAGCAGCAGGUUAAUACCCCGCUGUUCUGACGGUACCCAAAGAAUAAGCACCGGCUAACUUCGUG
RNAcentral lists this ribosomal RNA (492 nucleotides) under uncultured bacterium. Its description in RNAcentral is "partial 16S ribosomal RNA". It matches the Rfam family "Bacterial small subunit ribosomal RNA", at positions 29 to 507 of the family's 1533-position model. The record is from RNAcentral.